Molecule: unclassified non-coding RNA, 337 nt
Filed under: uncultured fungus
Lineage: Eukaryota; Fungi
Description: partial contains 5.8S ribosomal RNA, internal transcribed spacer 2, and large subunit ribosomal RNA
Source: RNAcentral
AACGCAUAUUGCACUCCUUUUGGGAGUAUGCCUGUUUGAGAAUCUAUAGUAUUUUUUUUUCCUAGUUUACUUGGAAAAGAUUUGGCGAAUCUCUUAGUUUUUUAAGAGUACGCUUAAAGCUAAUAGCUAAGUCACCAAAAGAGUGCCAAAGCAAAACUGUUUGAAACUCAUUAGAGUAAAACCCCUACUAUUUUGUUUUGGGAAAACAUUCCUAGGUAAUUUAGCUCAAAAAGGAUUCUUCAAGAAGAACCAAGGAGGUUUUUAUCACUUUAUAUUAUUGUUAGUGUUUAACCCGAACCAUGGUCUCAAAUCAGGUAGGAGGACCCGCUGAACUUAA